Molecule: ribosomal RNA, 207 nt
Filed under: uncultured bacterium
Lineage: Bacteria
Description: partial 16S ribosomal RNA
Rfam family: Bacterial small subunit ribosomal RNA
Source: RNAcentral
CGUGUAGGCGGUCCGGUAAGUCGGCUGUGAAAGUCGAGGGCUCAACCCUCGAAUGCCGGCCGAAACUGCCGGGCCAGAGUCGGGAAGAGGCGAGUGGAACUCCCGGUGUAGCGGUGAAAUGCGCAGAUAUCGGGAGGAACACCAAUGGCGAAGGCAGCUCGCUGGGACGGUACUGACGCUGAGACGCGAAAGCGUGGGGAGCAAACA